AUUGAACGCUGGCGGCAUGCUUUACACAUGCAAGUCGAACGGUAACAGGCCGCAAGGUGCUGACGAGUGGCGAACGGGUGAGUAAUGCAUCGGAACGUGCCCAGUCGUGGGGGAUAACUACUCGAAAGAGUAGCUAAUACCGCAUACGAUCUAUGGAUGAAAGUGGGGGACCGUAAGGCCUCGCGCGAUUUGAGCGGCCGAUGUCAGAUUAGGUAGUUGGUGGGGUAAAGGCUCACCAAGCCAACGAUCUGUAGCUGGUCUGAGAGGACGACCAGCCACACUGGGACUGAGACACGGCCCAGACUCCUACGGGAGGCAGCAGUGGGGAAUUUUGGACAAUGGGCGCAAGCCUGAUCCAGCAAUGCCGCGUGCAGGAAGAAGGCCUUCGGGUUGUAAACUGCUUUUGUACGGAACGAAACGGCUCUGGUUAAUACCCGGGGCUAAUGACGGUACCGUAAGAAUAAGCACCGGCUAACUACGUG
This 482-nucleotide ribosomal RNA is filed under the name uncultured bacterium. Its description in RNAcentral is "partial 16S ribosomal RNA". It matches the Rfam family "Bacterial small subunit ribosomal RNA", at positions 30 to 507 of the family's 1533-position model. The record is from RNAcentral.